AUUGAACGCUGGCGGCAUGCCUUACACAUGCAAGUCGAACGGCAGCACGGGUGCUUGCACCUGGUGGCGAGUGGCGAACGGGUGAGUAAUACAUCGGCACAUGUCCUGUAGUGGGGGAUAGCCCGGCGAAAGCCGGAUUAAUACCGCAUACGAUCUACGGUUGAAAGCGGAGGCCCUUCGGGCCUCGCGCUAUAGGGUUGGCCGAUGGCUGAUUAGCUAGUUGGUGGGGUAAAGGCCUACCAAGGCGACGAUCAGUAGCUGGUCUGAGAGGACGACCAGCCACACUGGGACUGAGACACGGCCCAGACUCCUACGGGAGGCAGCAGUGGGGAAUUUUGGACAAUGGGCGAAAGCCUGAUCCAGCAAUGCCGCGUGUGUGAAGAAGGCCUUCGGGUUGUAAAGCACUUUUGUCCGGAAAGAAAUCCUUGGCCCUAAUACGGUCGGGGGAUGACGGUACCGGAAGAAUAAGCACCGGCUAACUACGUG
Molecule: ribosomal RNA, 486 nt
Filed under: uncultured bacterium
Lineage: Bacteria
Description: partial 16S ribosomal RNA
Rfam family: Bacterial small subunit ribosomal RNA
Source: RNAcentral